UACAGAGGUCCCGAGCGUUGUUCGGAUUCACUGGGCGGAAAGGGUGCGUAGGUGGCAUGGUAAGUUUGAUGUGAAAGCUCAGGGCUCAACCCUGAAAUGGCAUUGAAUACUACUGUGCUGGAGGUUUGGAGGGGGGACUGGAAUUCUUGGUGUAGCAGUGAAAUGCGUAGAUAUCAAGAGGAACACCAGUGGCGAAGGCGAGUCCCUGGACAACACCUGACACUGAGGCACGAAAGCUAGGGGAGCAAACAGG
This 253-nucleotide ribosomal RNA is filed under the name uncultured bacterium. Its description in RNAcentral is "partial 16S ribosomal RNA". It matches the Rfam family "Bacterial small subunit ribosomal RNA", at positions 524 to 776 of the family's 1533-position model. The record is from RNAcentral.